AUUGAACGCUGGCGGCAUGCUUUACACAUGCAAGUCGAACGGUAACAGGCCGCAAGGUGCUGACGAGUGGCGAACGGGUGAGUAAUGCAUCGGAACGUGCCCAGUCGUGGGGGAUAACGCAGCGAAAGCUGGGCUAAUACCGCAUACGAUCUAUGGAUGAAAGCGGGGGACCGUAAGGCCUCGCGCGAUUGGAGCGGCCGAUGUCAGAUUAGGUAGUUGGUGGGGUAAAGGCUCACCAAGCCAACGAUCUGUAGCUGGUCUGAGAGGACGACCAGCCACACUGGGACUGGGACCCGGCCCAGACUCCUACGGGAGGCGGCAGUGGGGAAUUUUGGACAAUGGGCGCAAGCCUGAUCCAGCAAUGCCGCGUGCAGGAAGAAGGCCUUCGGGUUGUAAACUGCUUUUGUACGGAACGAAACGGCUCUGGUUAAUACCUGGGGCUAAUGACGGUACCGUAAGAAUAAGCACCGGCUAACUACGUGCCAGCAGCCGCAGUAA
RNAcentral lists this ribosomal RNA (498 nucleotides) under uncultured bacterium. RNAcentral's name for it is "partial 16S ribosomal RNA". It matches the Rfam family "Bacterial small subunit ribosomal RNA", at positions 29 to 523 of the family's 1533-position model. The record is from RNAcentral.